CAGUCCAUCUAUGUGGUUCUGGAUUCUCUGGUGCUUUUGGUAGGACUCCGAGGCCAUGCUGGAGCCCUUUUGUAUCCAGGUCCUUUCCAAUGGAUAAUCUGCAGAAUGAGGAAUCCUUCCUGAUGAUGAAGACUCAACUCUUUCCAAGAGCCAGAUUUGCCUAUUCUGGAUAUUUCAUAUAAAUGGAAUCACAAAAUAGGUGACCAGCUGUGUUCAAGAUUCACCCAGGUUAUAGGAUGUCCUUCAUCCCUUCUUGUGGCCAAAUAAUAUUCCACUGCAUGGACAUAGAGCAUUUGCAUUCAUCGGUUGAUGACCACUACAACUCACUCAUCCAGGACUUUAGCUCCUGGCUCAUUGUCUCUCAUGCUGCCUCUCUCAUCGUUCUCAGUGAUUUCCAUACCCAGGCACACAGUGAGAGAGAGAGAGGCAGAGACACAGGCAGAGGGAGAAACAGGCUCCAUGCACCGGGAGCCCGACGUGGGACUCGAUCCCGGGUCUCCAGGAUCGCGCCCUGGGACAAAGGCAGGCGCUAAACCGCUGCACCACCCAGGGAUCCCCUUCUUCAACAAUUUGAUCUUCCCCUCAGCCUCUCCCCCCAGUGGUUAUGCCUAGACCUUGUCUCAGUAAGCACAGCCUCUUGGAAUCUCAGCUUCAUGCAUCUCACUCACUGCCCACUGUAUCUUGUCUUUCUAUUCAUUCCCUCCAAAACCUUAACUCCAACAAUUCACUGACCCUACACCUUUCCUCUACCCCUCAGCGCCCUCAUGUCUUCACACAGAUCAAACUCCUUGACCAACCAUUAUGAUCACCCCCUCACACAUUUACUACACACCUUCCCACUUCACCAUACUCAUCUGGCAACACCACAUUCCUUAUUAAAUUGAACGUCCCACCUAUCGCAUGCUUUCAUGUGUGCAGCUGAAUGUGGGCAGAGGAAAGUACACACCCAUGCUAACUGGCCUCGCCUUAAAUUCAUGCCCACUGAUUUGGAGUGGACCCCCUGGCGCUGCUCAGCAAAUUCGCCGGAGUCCCUGCUCCCUGGAUUGUCCCAGGUGA
Molecule: long non-coding RNA, 1056 nt
Filed under: Canis lupus familiaris (dog)
Lineage: Eukaryota; Metazoa; Chordata; Mammalia; Carnivora; Canidae
Description: lncRNA (ENSCAFG00805006138.1, ENSCAFG00845004913.1)
Source: RNAcentral